This 651-nucleotide ribosomal RNA is filed under the name Strombidium sp. RNAcentral's name for it is "partial large subunit ribosomal RNA". It matches the Rfam family "Eukaryotic large subunit ribosomal RNA", at positions 26 to 658 of the family's 3401-position model. The record is from RNAcentral. Lineage: Eukaryota; Ciliophora; Spirotrichea; Strombidiidae.
CGCUGAAAUUUAAGCAUAUCACUAAGCGGAGGAAAAGAAACUAACUAGGAUGGCCUCAGUAACGGCGAGUGAAGCGGCCAGAGCCCAAGAUGGUAAUCUCCGUGCAGCGCACGGCGAAUUGUAAUCUAGAGAUGCUAUUCUCAACGGGUGGUGGCGCAGAAGUGCCCUGGAACGGGCCGCCAAAGAGGGUGACAGCCCCGUACGUGGCGCCGCCGCUCAACGAGAAGGUAUUCGAAGAGUCGGGUUGUUUUGUAUUGCAGCCCUAAGCGGGAGAUAAACUUCUUCUAAGGCUAAAUAUAUGUGGGAAACCGAUAGCGAACAAGUACUGUGAAGGAAAGAUGAAAAGCACUUUGGAAAGAGAGUCAAAAGACCUGAAACCGUUGAGGAGGAAGCGGUAGAGAUGAAUUCUACGGCGAUGUGCGGGGAAGGCGAUCUAAUCAUGGCGGGGGAGUCGUACGUCAAAGGCGGCCCUUUGUCCAAGAGGAAAUCGGUGACUUGCGCGGCGUUGUGAGGCCGGAUGAAGUGGCGUGAUCACAAAGGCCUAGCAGGAGUGGCGGGUUUCGAUCUGCAGCCUGUUGGUGCCGGUGGAUGCGUGGCUUGAGGGUGCCUUGUGCGAUCCGGUCAAAAUGGUCUUUACCGACUCGUCUUGAA